RNAcentral lists this long non-coding RNA (2440 nucleotides) under Mytilus galloprovincialis (Mediterranean mussel). Lineage: Eukaryota; Metazoa; Mollusca; Bivalvia; Mytilida; Mytilidae. The record is from RNAcentral.
CCCACACAAAAUUUCGUAAAAGGUUAAGCAAAACCUUGUGUCUUACCUGCAAUUGCAGCUGUCAAUGAAUACUGUCUUUUGGUAAACAAAAAGACUUCUGUCUAAAUUAAGUUUCCGAAAAUUGAAUCAAGACAAAAUACAUACAAAAGACAUUUACAUGUGAUGAUACUAUCAAAGUUAUUGUCUUAACUGUAUAUCUAGCUCUAAAUUGAGUCGAGAUAAGUUGUGAAAAAAAUCAACAUAUACACAUACCACAAAAGAUUUGCAAUUUGCCAUCAACACAUCUUCCUUAAAAACAUAUUUUUAAGAUGCAACUUAAGACAACCACUGAUAUGGUUAUGACUUCAAUUUGACUAGGCUACAGACAUGGAACAAAUUAAACUAGAGGCUCUAAAAUGCCUGUGUCGCUCACCUUGGUCUAUGUGCAUAUUAAACAAAGGACACAAAUGGAUUCAUGACUAGUUUAAUUGCUGUUCUUCAUGAACCAUACACCAGUUUAUUGACCACACAACCCACCAAAUUCAAGGUAGAUAACUGUAUACAGCCAUCUUAAAAUACCAGUACACAAUUGCUCUAGUUCUUAGCUUAACAUAACUGUUGACACAGAUUAAUGUCUCAUCUGUCUGCCAAAAAUAAAAAACCAGAUGCUCCGCAGGGCGCAGCUUUAUACAACCGCAGAGGUUGAACCCUGAACAGUUGGGGCAAGUAUGGACACAACAUUCAAGCUGGAUUCAGCUCUAAAUUUGGAUUGCGAUUAAGAAGUUGACACAGCAUAGGUUUCUGACACAGAAUGAAUGUGGUCUAAUGAACUUAAAAUAUUUUUUUUUUUUUUUGCCUUGGAGCAAUUCACUAUGUUGUUGAAUAUUAAUCCUCUCAAAAAAAUGUUUGAAGAAAUUUUCUUUUUAUUUAUGAAAUCUGAAAUGAGAAGAAUUUACCCCCCCCCCUUUUUUUUUCACAUCCCCCUUUCCCUUUUUCCAAAACUGAUCUCAAUUCAAAUUUCUAAUGGAGUUUGCAACAAUACUACUCAUUUAAAUACAUCAUAAAAUAUUAAAAUGUAAAAUAAAGUGCUUGUUAUCACUGAAUGGUAAAGAUUGUUUUAAUUUAUCAGUUGGUAGUAAAAGUGAAUAUACAUUGUAUAUUGUAUAAAACAAUUUAAGUUGAUUCAACUACUAUUCUGGACAAAGAAAGAUAAUUCCAAUUGAAAAUUUCUUGCUAUUGCACAAAUUGUGCAAUUAGAUAUUUCUUGCUAUUGCGCAAUACUGUGCAAUUGAAAAUUUCUUGCUAUUGCACAAUACUGUGCAAUUGAAGAUUUCUUGCUAUUGCUGAACACUGUGCAAUUGAAAAUUUCUUGCUAUUGCACAAUACUUUAUAUAAUAAUUUUGGAUCCUGAUUUGAACCAACUUGAAAACUGGGCCCAUAAUCAAAAAUUUAAGUACAUGUUUAGAUUCAGCAUAUCAAAAAAGCCCAAGAAUUCAAUUUUUGUUAAAAUCAAACUUAGUUUAAUUUUGGACCCUUUGGACUUUAUUGUAGACCAAUUUGAAAACAGGACAAAAAAUUAAGAAUCUAAAUACACAGUUAGAUUUGGCAUAUCAAAGAAACCCAAUAAUUCAUAUUUUGAUGAAAUCAAACAAAGUUUAGUUUUGGACCCUUUUGGCCCCUAAUUCCUAAACUGUUGGGACCAAAUCUCCCAAAAUCAAACCCAACCUUCCUUUUGUGGUCAUAUACCUUAUGUUAAAAUUUCAUACAUUUCUGUUCACUUAUACUUUUAAAAAAAGUUAUUGUGCGAAAAACCAAAAAAAUGCUUAUUUGGGCACUUUUUUGCCCCUAAUUCUCUAAUCUGUUGAGACCAAAACUCCCAAAAUCAAUCCCAACCUUCCUUUUAUGUUCAUAAACCUUGUGUUUAAAUUUCAUAGAUUUCUAUUUACUUUAAAGUUAUAGUGAGAAAACCAAAUGUCUUCAGAUGACGACGACGCCAACGUCAUACCCCUAUACGACCAAAAAUUUUUCAAUUUUUGCGGUCCUAUAAAAAUUCAUUGAUCUAUCCUAUCAAACUGAUAAAAGCAGAAAAGUUAAAAGCAUUAAAAUCUACUUAUUGAUUCAGUCACUGGACAAUAACCUAGUGGGCAGGGCUUCCAAAAGGUCUUCAUACGGAUAUGUAAUUAGUUAAAUUUUUUACAAAGAAAUGUUAGAGAAAUUUUCAUUUUUUACUUGUAACAAGAAAACAAAUUCACAGUCACUAUUUUUCCUACUAUUUUCUUAAAACCUAUCCUCUCAUAUUUUACUUCAAAAUUCUAUCUCAAAGAUUUCUAAUUAUUCCCCAAAAGUAUUUUUUUCAUGUAUAAUGAUUAAAUCUAUGCAAAAUUUGUAGAUUGAAAUAUAGCACAGUGACCUAUAAUUUUUAUGAAUGUUUUGAACAAAGAACAGUAAAAUCUACAUUUUG